This 67-nucleotide transfer RNA is filed under the name Glossotermes oculatus. Its description in RNAcentral is "tRNA-Cys". Lineage: Eukaryota; Metazoa; Arthropoda; Insecta; Blattodea; Rhinotermitidae. The record is from RNAcentral.
GAUCUUGUAUUCAUUUUAUGAUUGUGGAUUGCAAGUCCGUAGGAGUGAUCUAUUGUCGCCAAGAUCU